CUUUGAAAACAUGCAGUGGAAAACAAAACGGGUCAAAUCCUUUAACCCCACAUACUAGAGAUCAAAUCUAAACCUACCCAAAUUGAGGAAAAAACACAUAUCAUCAAUCUGGAAUUUAAAAAAAUUUAUGAGAUCAGAUCUCAUUACCUUGGCGCAGGUAGAUAUUCACUGCUUCUGAUGAUCUCGGAUUCGUGGAAGGUUA
This 202-nucleotide long non-coding RNA is filed under the name Elaeis guineensis (African oil palm). Its description in RNAcentral is "long non-coding RNA (EGUI_LNC051174)". Lineage: Eukaryota; Viridiplantae; Streptophyta; Magnoliopsida; Arecales; Arecaceae. The record is from RNAcentral.